CUCGGAUAGCCUUCCAUAAAAUCAUGAGGUUUCGACACGUGCUGAUUGUUCAUUAUUAACCCUUCGGCAGCUGCAAUAAUUAAGUUCACAUGGAAGGCGAACACGAUUAAAAAAUGGAAGUGAUCAUAAGUGUUACACGGACUCGAUCGUUAAGAGAAUUAUCAUUUGCAACAGUGCAGUCACACUGAGCAGAACAGAUGGGAGGAAUAAAAAUACAUUCAACGACGUCUCGGAUUUCAGUAAUUAUACUUGUCAGAGAGGGGUGGAUAAUGUGCAGAACUUUUUGUGUUUUACUGUAGCGUUUCCAAACCGCUAAAAAUACAUUCUAAGUGACAAAGUCGGGACGCCUUUAUCCAAGACAACUUACAGAGACUAGGGUAUGUGAACUAUGCAUCAGCUGCAGAGUCACUUACAAUUACGUCUCACCCGGAAGACGGAGCACAAGGAGGUUAAGUGACUUGCUCAGGGUCACACAAUGAGUCAGUGGCUGAGGUGGGAUUUGAACCAGGGACCUCCUGAUUACAAGCCCUUUUCUUUAACCACUGGACCACACAGCCUCCUGUUACUUAAACAGCUGUAGCAACACGUGGGGAUGUGUAACGCUAUAUUUUUCAGAACCCUGCAACUUACUCUAAGUCAUUAAUAAGGACUCAUCCACCUAAAACAGGUACCUUUAAAUCCUCUACGUUUUCCAAAUUUGUUUAUAUAUUAUAUUAGAUGUGUUCUGUAUGAUUAAUUAUUGUUGUUCCUGCUGUAAUCUAUGUGUUCUUUAUUAGAAUCGCUUUGUACCUCACUUGCUGUUUCCACCAUCACAUCCUGGGGACUUUUUAAAACUCAGUAGUUUAAAGCACCCAUAAUGCUUCAAAGGGCCUCUGAAGCAUGUCUGCUCUGCACCUUCAUGCCACUAGUGGAUGUACGAAAGACAUCAGUAAAGAAUUCCACAUUGUACAAAUUUACAUCCAGAGCAGAGUGUUGCAGGAGGACAUUUAAUGGUUUUAAGGUAGCCAGAUGUGGUAUUAUACUGAAAUCUUUUUCAUGGAUUGCGCAUUAGCUACCCAUAUGAGUUCCUGGUAUAUUAGGCCUUUGGUUCUAGAAAGCAGGAGUCAUGUGCUGUAACGGCGGACACUUAAACGGUUUCCAAGACACAGAGUAGCAUAGAAUGUUCAACUUACAAAUGCUUUGUGGUUGUCAAGCAGACCUGUUUAUAUGAAACAUAAACCUUGCUAUUGAGAAUGUUUAAUUUGGCUCCUCAAAAAUGUAAGCAGACUGUUAUAAAGACAGAUAUAUAAACAAGUGUAAACAAUGUUCCCUACUGUUCAUUAGAGAGGAUUUCCUGGAUUCAUCCAUUACGGAAGGGCUGUACUAACACGUACAGGGUAACUGCAAUCUUCUGAACCCGCUACCUAUUUUAUAUGUUAUAUUACUUUACAAGUUUUACCAAAAAUAAACAUUACAGUAAAGUUUAUAA
Molecule: long non-coding RNA, 1468 nt
Organism: Acipenser ruthenus (sterlet)
Lineage: Eukaryota; Metazoa; Chordata; Actinopteri; Acipenseriformes; Acipenseridae
Exons: 4
Source: RefSeq, a predicted model, not a curated record